This 990-nucleotide long non-coding RNA is filed under the name Chrysemys picta bellii (western painted turtle). Its description in RNAcentral is "lncRNA (ENSCPBG00000009365.1)". Lineage: Eukaryota; Metazoa; Chordata; Testudines; Emydidae. The record is from RNAcentral.
UGGUGGCUUGUUUUGUGGGGUGCCAGAAUGAGUGAGGUUUCUCCUUCCUCCUGCCUCUGCAGGGUUUGUUCAUGUUCCAAUUCCAACCCGAAAAAUCCUUCCAUUACAAAGGGCUAAAGCUCAGCCAGUAUUAUCAAGGCGCCCACAAAGAGAGAACAUGAACCAGCUCAUCUAUGGGAAGGAAAAUGAGAUGGUUUAUGUCUUCAUCCGCAUUAACAGUGCAGGGACAGUCCUGCCCUGCUCCUCUGAACAGCUGGGGACAAAGACGUGGAUGGAUCAAGUUUACAAAUGGACCAAGGACACUGGGCAGGAAAUUCAAGAUUCCAAAUAUUGCUCCAUACUGGAGAAUGGAUCCCUAGCCUUCAAGGACUUCGGCUCAGCGCAGUCUGGAAUCUACAAAUGCAAUGUCUCCUAUUCCAAAGAGGGCAAGCGCUACACAAAGAACUUCCAUUUCUUUGUCAGGGGUAUGGUAUGUAGGAAAGCUGCCCAAGGUGCAGAGAGUUGUGGGAGAGGGAUUGGCUGCUUUGUGAAGAACAAAUCAAGAUGCCAGAGAUAAAUGGUUGCCAUGACCAAAGGGGGGAGCAUGAUCUCCUAUAUUGGAGAGACCCAGGGAGUCUGGGUAUUGAUGCAGGUUAGGGUGUUGAGGAAAGUGCCAGUGGGAAUAACUGUGGGUCACUAAGGGUAUGUCUACACUGAGAUUAAGAAAACCCAUGGCACAGCCCCAUAGCUAAGGGGGAGCAUGAGCAGGCACUGACCCCCCUGUACAUUUGUUUGUCCUUGUAAAUAAGAUGUUCCAGUUUUUUCUUCCCCAGUUUCUUAUUCUGAGUUUCCUCAGAUGAGUGAUUGUAGUCCUAAAGCCACAAAGUAGUAGUUACAAUUCUAGUAGCCCUUGGGGGUGGGGUGUGUUAGUGACCCUGUUUCAGCUAAAUUAAGUGUGGUGACUGCAUUACGUUGGUGCCAUAAUAAAAGAUGUGCAAAGAAGUCUCUGCA